GGGAAACAUUUCGACAAAAGAUGAACACAUGGUUAAAUUAUUUUACUUGGAAAACAGGACAACUUGUAUAAUAUAAAAGCCUAAAGCUAUAAGAAUUUCUAACACUAGAUAUAAUCCUACUUAUAUGCACCGUUCCCCUAUUUAUGCUGCCUAUGUGCAAUGAGAAAAAUAAUUCCAAGCCGUGAGACUAUUAUAUAUAGCUCAUUUCUUAUUCACUCAUGUAGGAAAAAUAGAUUACAUAUGCUUGGUUGAAGAAACUCAACACAUAAUAGUUU
RNAcentral lists this unclassified non-coding RNA (275 nucleotides) under Hevea brasiliensis (rubber tree). The record is from RNAcentral. Lineage: Eukaryota; Viridiplantae; Streptophyta; Magnoliopsida; Malpighiales; Euphorbiaceae.